Molecule: ribosomal RNA, 403 nt
Filed under: uncultured bacterium
Lineage: Bacteria
Description: partial 16S ribosomal RNA
Rfam family: Bacterial small subunit ribosomal RNA
Source: RNAcentral
AUUGAACGCUGGCGGCAGGCCUAACACAUGCAAGUCGAGCGAGCGGCGGACGGGUGUGUAAUGUAUGGGGACUGCCCGAUAGAGGGGGCUAACUACUGGAAACGGGAGCUAAUACCGGAUCCUAUCGGAUAAACCAUAUGGGCUUAGCUAGUAGGUGAGGUAAUGUCGCACCAAGGCGACGAGCCCUAGCGGGCCUGAGAGGAUGAUCAGCCACACGGGAACUGAGACACGGCCCAGACUCCUACGGAGGCAGCAGUGGGGAAUAUUUCGCAAUGGGCGCGAGCCGGAUGCAGCAAUGCCGCGUGUAUGAAGAAGGCCCUAGGGUUGUAAAGCACUUUCAGUCGGGAGGCGUUACCGACAGAAGAAGCACCGGCUAACGCCGUGCCAGCAGCCGCGGUAAUUC